Molecule: long non-coding RNA, 559 nt
Organism: Anas platyrhynchos (mallard)
Lineage: Eukaryota; Metazoa; Chordata; Aves; Anseriformes; Anatidae
Source: RefSeq, a predicted model, not a curated record
CUUCUGGGAUCCAGUCUGCUGAUGCCAGGUGGAACCUGACUUCUGCCUUAGUAUUCACUGAGAAGAAAAACAGGACCUUUUUCAACGUAAUGGCUUGACUUCCUAAGAUUUAUGAGGGCCGCUGCUCCGGCUGUAGGAUACAGUCAGUCGGUCUGGAAGAGAAGAGCAGCGACGUGAGGAGGAGGGACAUGGACCGGACCCGUCAGCGCAGUGGGAAGAACAGGGGUACCCCAAAACACUGCGUGUGGGGCUGAAGGAAGCCUGUUACUCGGCGGUGUGUCUGCUUCACGCUUAGCUCUGCAUGUUGCGUGCAGGCUGUUUUUGGGGUUGGAAACAGAGCAGUCUGUUUAAUUACCUUUUAUGCAUGUUUCUAUUCUACGUUGUAAGGAUGGUAAAAAUGGGUAAUUUCCUGAUGCUCUUAAAGCCCGUGUGGGAGCCCACAACCAACCCUGCCCCCUCUGAGCCACACUGCAGCUUCCCCAUGCAACAACCACCUCAGCCCACAACCACGGGCACCCCCCCACACCACCGGGCACCCCCAGCUCCCACCAACGACCGC